Molecule: unclassified non-coding RNA, 339 nt
Filed under: soil metagenome
Description: partial contains 5.8S ribosomal RNA, internal transcribed spacer 2, and large subunit ribosomal RNA
Rfam family: 5.8S ribosomal RNA (bases 1-120)
Source: RNAcentral
GAUGAAGAGCGCAGCGAAAUGCGAUACGUAGUGUGAAUUGCAGAAUUCAGUGAAUCAUCGAAUCUUUGAACGCACAUUGCACCUCUCGGUAUUCCGGGAGGUAUGCCUGUUCGAGCGUCAUUUGUACCCUCAAGCUCUGCUUGGUGUUGGGUGUUUGUUCCGCCUCUGUGUGUGAACUCGCCUCAAAACAAUUGGCAGCCGGCGUACUUGUUUCGGAGCGCAGCACAUUUUGCGAUCCAGAUCAACGUACAGCGGCAUCCAAGAAGCCUUAUUUAACGCUCUUGACCUCGGAUCAGGUAGGGAUACCCGCUGAACUUAAGCAUAUCAAUAAGCGGAGGA